AGUGCUCCCAUGUCUCCCAGUGUCCUCAUGACUCAGUGCCCCCAUGUGUCGAUUACUCCAGGUCUCAGUGUUCCUAUGUAUCAGUGUCUCAGUGCCCCAUGUCUCCCAGUGUCGUGUCCCCAGGUCUCCCAGUGAUCCUAUGUAUCACAGUGUCUCAAUGCCCCAUGUCUCCCUGUGUCCCCAUGUCACUAGGACACUAGGAAGACGGGGAGACCUCGGGACACGGGGAGACCUAGGGACACGGAGACACAAGUGACACUGGGAGACUAAGGGACUCUGGCUGGGACACAUGGGGACAAUGGGAAAAUAGGGGACAUUUGAAGACAUAGGGACACAGACACCAGGGACACAGACACUAGAGACACUGGCUAGGGGACAUGGGGACAUUGAGACAUGGGGGCACUGGGAGACAUGGGGACACUGAGACACCAGGGCCACAGACACUAGGGACACUAGCUUGGAGACAUGGGGACAUUGUGACACUUGAGGCAAUGAGAGACAUGGAGGCACUAGGAGACAUGGGGACAGUGAGAGACUGGGAGACUAGGGGCACUGAGACACCAGGGACACUGGCUGGGAGACAUGGGGACAUUGUGUCCCCAUGUGUCUGUGUCAUAAUAUCUCCCAAUGUCCCUUAGUGUCUCAGUGUCUGCCAUAAUGUCUCCCAAUGUCCUUUAGUGUCUCAGUGUCUGCCAUAAUGUCUCCCAGUAUCCCUUAGUGUCUCAGUGUCUGCCAUAAUGUCUCCCAAUGUCCCUUAGUGUCUCAGUGUCUGCC
Non-coding RNA from Pelobates cultripes (western spadefoot toad), 774 nucleotides. NCBI's taxonomy places the organism in Eukaryota, Metazoa, Chordata, Amphibia, Anura, Pelobatidae. The record is from the annotation of a GenBank genome assembly.